This 302-nucleotide ribosomal RNA is filed under the name Acinetobacter baumannii. RNAcentral describes it as "partial 23S ribosomal RNA". It matches the Rfam family "Bacterial large subunit ribosomal RNA", at positions 1181 to 1499 of the family's 2925-position model. The record is from RNAcentral. Lineage: Bacteria; Pseudomonadati; Pseudomonadota; Gammaproteobacteria; Moraxellales; Moraxellaceae.
CGGUAGUAUACUACCGAAGCCACGGCAUCAUUAUGAUGGGUAGGGGAGCUUUCUUUACUGGGCAGAAGCAUGACCGUAAGGACAUGUGGACUGUAAAGAAGUGAGAAUGUUGGCAUGAGUAGCGAGAUGUGGGUGAGAAUCCCACAGGCCNNUUCCAGGGGAAGGUUCGUCCUCCCUGGGUUAGUCGGGACCUAAGCCGAGGCCGAAAGGCGUAGGUGAUGGACAACAGGUUGAAAUUCCUGUACCGCCAAUAAGCGUUUGAGAAAUGGGAUGACACAGUAGGACAGGAUGAGCGUGCUGUU